UAAAAGAGUAACAACGAGGGAACCGUACCCUCUCAGUUUUCUACGAGGCCGAAGUUUUGAAUUCGCAGAGAGGAGAAUCCGAGCAGAGAUUUCGACGUAGCUUCUUCGCAGGAUUGGAAGAAGCAACAGAAGAGUAACUCGGCGGAGAGGAGAGUGCGGCGCAGGUGCUGUAGAUUUACGCCUCUCGGGAUUCUCUCGGAGAUAGUGUGACCUAAUUCCGGCUCUUAACGAGUCUCCAGCGACUGAAGGAGAAGAAGAAGAAGAAGAAGAAACAUGGGAGAGCGGAAGGUUCUGAACAAGUACUAUCCUCCGGACUUCGAUCCGGCGAAGCUGCCACGCGCCCGCAGACCAAAGAAUCAGCAGAUUAAGGUCCGGAUGAUGCUUCCCAUGAGCAUCAGAUGCAACACCUGCGGUAAUUACAUCUACAUGGGGACGAAAUUCAACUCACGCAAAGAAGAUGUCGUCGGCGAGGUUCGCUAUUCUAUUCUCCUUCUUUUGUCAAUUUUUCUAGGGUUUAUUGUGAUCGAAGUCCUGGUUUGUUGCGUAUGGCGUUCUUAUUGUUGGUAUUAUUGUAUUUCUGCAGACGUAUUUGGGUAUACAAAUAUUUCGAUUCUACUUUAAGUGUACGAGAUGCUCGGCCGAGCUUGCGAUGAAGACUGAUCCUCAGAAUUCCGAUUACAUCGUGGAGAGCGGGGCGACGAGGAAUUAUGAGCCGUGGCGUAAAGAGGAUGAGGAAUUGGACGGCUUGAAACGGAAGAGAGAUGCUGAGGAGAUGGGUGAUGCGAUGAAGGCUUUGGAGAACAGGACGUUGGAUUCCAAACGGGAGAUGGAUACUUGAGGAUGAUACUAUGACUUAUUAGGCUUUUUUCAUAGGCAAAGUAGUUGUUUAUUGAAUUGUUAUCGUGUGUAUAUGAAAACUGUAAAUAUCAUUAUGAACAAAAAAUCAAGUAUUUCUUUUUCAGUAUACACCGCUAGUCACUAAUUCAACAGUUCUUCAAUCAUUCAAUUGCGAACUGAUCAAAUUGUAAGAGUUUCGACUUAGUUCAAGGAAGAUUUUGGAGUAGGAUUAGUACUUUAAGUAAGAUUAGUAGGUAGUUUUGGAGUAGGAUUAGUACUUGAUUUUGAUUUUUUAAAAUAAAAAAGGCUCCAAUGAUUAAUAAACAAAAGUAGACUGAUUGAUUUGUAAAAUAGACCAAAUUAGAUGAGCUAUAUAGUAAAAGAGUAACAACGAGGGAACCGUACCCUCUCAGUUUUCUACGAGGCCGAAGUUUUGAAUUCGCAGAGAGGAGAAUCCGAGCAGAGAUUUCGACGUAGCUUCUUCGCAGGAUUGGAAGAAGCAACAGAAGAGUAACUCGGCGGAGAGGAGAGUGCGGCGCAGGUGCUGUAGAUUUACGCCUCUCGGGAUUCUCUCGGAGAUAGUGUGACCUAAUUCCGGCUCUUAACGAGUCUCCAGCGACUGAAGGAGAAGAAGAAGAAGAAGAAGAAACAUGGGAGAGCGGAAGGUUCUGAACAAGUACUAUCCUCCGGACUUCGAUCCGGCGAAGCUGCCACGCGCCCGCAGACCAAAGAAUCAGCAGAUUAAGGUCCGGAUGAUGCUUCCCAUGAGCAUCAGAUGCAACACCUGCGGUAAUUACAUCUACAUGGGGACGAAAUUCAACUCACGCAAAGAAGAUGUCGUCGGCGAG
RNAcentral lists this long non-coding RNA (1685 nucleotides) under Linum usitatissimum (flax). Its description in RNAcentral is "long non-coding RNA (LUSI_LNC002708)". The record is from RNAcentral. Lineage: Eukaryota; Viridiplantae; Streptophyta; Magnoliopsida; Malpighiales; Linaceae.